RNAcentral lists this ribosomal RNA (688 nucleotides) under Peniophorella pallida. RNAcentral describes it as "eukaryotic LSU rRNA". The stretch from base 275 to 428 matches the Rfam family "5.8S ribosomal RNA". The record is from RNAcentral. Lineage: Eukaryota; Fungi; Basidiomycota; Agaricomycetes; Hymenochaetales.
UAGAGGAAGUAAAAGUCGUAACAAGGUUUCCGUAGGUGAACCUGCGGAAGGAUCAUUAACGAGUCUUUGAAGUGGGUUUGAUGCUGGCCGUCUCAGGCAUGUGCUCGCCCCGCUCCAUCCUCUCAACCCCUGUGCACUUCAUGUUCGAAGAUGUGACUUCCCCUGCGAGGGGAGCAGCUCGGGAGACCGAGCCGGAGUCGCUCUUUGGGCACACACACAAACUCUUAUGUACCUGGAUGUAUACAAGGCCUACGGGCCCUAAACUAAACAAUACAACUUUCAACAACGGAUCUCUUGGCUCUCGCAUCGAUGAAGAACGCAGCGAAAUGCGAUAAGUAAUGUGAAUUGCAGAAUUCAGUGAAUCAUCGAAUCUUUGAACGCACCUUGCGCUCCUUGGUAUUCCGAGGAGCAUGCCUGUUUGAGUGUCAUGAAUUCAUCAACCCCGAAGGGAUUUUGUAUCCCUCUCGGUGGCUUGGACUUGGGGGAUUCUUUGCUGGCCUUCACCGGUCGGCUCCCCUUGAAUGCAUUAGCUUGGACUUGUCCCGGCGACGUCAUAGCGUGAUAAUUAUCUACGCUUUGAACCGUCUGUUGGUACCUCGUUGGUCUGGCUUCCAAUCGUCUUCGGACAAAGCACCUUCAUUUUGACCUCAAAUCAGGUAGGACUACCCGCUGAACUUAAGCAUAUCAA